RNAcentral lists this ribosomal RNA (492 nucleotides) under uncultured bacterium. Its description in RNAcentral is "partial 16S ribosomal RNA". It matches the Rfam family "Bacterial small subunit ribosomal RNA", at positions 29 to 507 of the family's 1533-position model. The record is from RNAcentral.
AGUGAACGCUGGCGGUAGGCCUAACACAUGCAAGUCGACCGGCAGCACAGUAAGAGCUUGCUCUUACGGGUGGCGAGUGGCGGACGGGUGAGGAAUACAUCGGAAUCUACUUUUUCGUGGGGGAUAACGUAGGGAAACUUACGCUAAUACCGCAUACGACCUACGGGUGAAAGCAGGGGAUCUUCGGACCUUGCGCGAUUGAAUGAGCCGAUGUCGGAUUAGCUAGUUGGCGGGGUAAAGGCCCACCAAGGCGACGAUCCGUAGCUGGUCUGAGAGGAUGAUCAGCCACACUGGAACUGAGACACGGUCCAGACUCCUACGGGAGGCAGCAGUGGGGAAUAUUGGACAAUGGGCGCAAGCCUGAUCCAGCCAUACCGCGUGGGUGAAGAAGGCCUUCGGGUUGUAAAGCCCUUUUGUUGGGAAAGAAAAGCAGCAGGUUAAUACCCCGCUGUUCUGACGGUACCCAAAGAAUAAGCACCGGCUAACUUCGUG